Molecule: unclassified non-coding RNA, 620 nt
Filed under: Hevea brasiliensis (rubber tree)
Lineage: Eukaryota; Viridiplantae; Streptophyta; Magnoliopsida; Malpighiales; Euphorbiaceae
Source: RNAcentral
UGAGUGGACUGUGAAGACUACUGGUAAUUUAUCUUGUCUUGUACCAUCCCUUUCUCCAACUUUUAACUUAGAAUGAGUUUUCUUUUCCUUUGUAGAAUUGUUCAAAUCAAAUCAUUUUUCUUCCUUUGCCAUGAAUUAUCAUUAUUAUCCAGAACACUGUAGAGAAAAUAUUUGGAGAUCUCAAUGGUUUUCAUCGGCUUUGAAUAUUUAGAUUAUUCCCUCUUUUGAUUUUAUGGCAAGUCUUGCAUAUCGAUAUUUUUUUAUGACCGUGACCACCACCAACAAGCUCUUAUACCAUUCAAAAGGACUGCCGCUGCCCUUUUUUAAAUUGCAAAUUUCACUGCAACUAAUAUUCAAUACAAGAGUCCACAGCUUUUUCACUAGUUAAUGAAUCUGCAACUCCGUUUCCUUGUUACUUAGUUUUGAGAUUUCACUUUUUUCAAUAUGACUUUGAAUACUCUGUAUUGACAUCUUUAAUUAUAUUAAUUAGUUGUUCAAAGUUAUACGUAAUGCAUAAUUUUUAUUUUAUUUUAUUUCCUAACAUCAACUUGAUUAUUGCAUUAAUUUUAUAACAAUAAUUCCCCAUUUCGGUCACCUCUGCCCGUAAUGUACUCAACCAG